Gorilla gorilla gorilla (western lowland gorilla) is the source of this 1971-nucleotide long non-coding RNA. RefSeq lists it as uncharacterized. NCBI's taxonomy places the organism in Eukaryota, Metazoa, Chordata, Mammalia, Primates, Hominidae. The transcript is spliced from 3 exons. The record is from RefSeq and is a predicted model, not a curated record.
UGCCAUGAACACAAUUACAGCAACGCAUUCCCAGUUUCCACUUUAGAGAACAUGAGGGGUGAUGACAGAAAAGAAUUCUUUGCUGUUUCAAGAAUCGACUUAUGGAGAAAAUGAAACCGUGAUAAUUGAAUCAAAAUACUUUUGUCACAAAGUAAGCAUCUGGACGAUGGAUCCAGGGAAAGCCAUUAUAAGAAAGAAAUAGCCACUCUUUCUGGGGGAAGCCAUGUGAUAAGCAGCUCUGUGGAGAUGCCAGUGUGGUGAGGAACUGAAGCCUCCUUCCAGUAGCCCUGUGAAUGAGCUUAAAGGAAGAUUCCACAGCUGCGCAAAACUUCAAAUGGCUGACGCCGGGCUGACAGCUUGAUUGCCAUCUCAUGAGAGGUCCCAAAGCAGAACCACCCAGCAAAGUGACUCCUGGAUUUCUGACCCUAAGAAUUUGUGUGAGAUAAUAAAUAUUUGUUCUUUUAGGCUGCUAAGUUUUGAGAUAAUUUGUUUUGCAGCAAAAGGUCACUAAUUUACUACAUAAUUAGCACUAUUAUAUAAAAGUGAAGUGCGAACAACAAAGCAUUUUAGGGCAGAAAGGCAUGUUGUCCUCUUAAUGCUAAAAUCUGAAUGAAAGAGAGAUCUUAAACAGGAACAUUAUUUUGACGAAAGUGAUGUUGAAAAAGACCAUGGUAUUCAGUUGUAUAGACUGUGCUAUUCACAAGGGUGCCCGACCCAGGAUGUGAAAGAAGAUGAAAAUCAAACCCAUGCUCUGGUCUCCAAGCUGUGUGACCUGACUCAGAGUUGCAUCUACCCAGAAGCAGAAAUGCCUUUUUCUAACACACAAACAUUUAAUCUUCUUGCCAGGUUGUGUACCCAUGGGGUUUUGUCAGCCUUGAGAAGGCAUUUUUUUUUUUAAAUUAGUAAGCACAUUUUUUUUAAAAUUAGCACAAAGACACCAUAUGGGCUAGCAGUGGUUUCAAAGUUGGUGGGGGCAGGAGGAUUUAAAUCUUUUUGAAGGAGGUAGUUCUAGCUUCAAAUCCUGCCCACUUCAUAUGUUUUAUGUGUAUCUUCUGAUACGUUUUAUAACUUCAGUUUUCUCACUAGUAAAAUGAGAAGUGAGAACAAAAAUAUCUGCAUAAUUGGAUUAUGGCAAGAACCAUAUGAGAUAAUUUUUGAAAAGCGCCGAAUUCAGUUGGCGAGUACACCAUAGAUGAUCAAUACAUGCAGCUUUUCUAUCUCCUUUGCAUCUGCUUGAGUUUAGGCAGAAUAAAAAGGCUGUUUAUGGAAGAAACUGCAAGCUUGCCAAAUGAGUCAAAACUCAUAAUGUUUCCUAUUAUAGCAAUCACUAGGAGCGGAACCUAAAGAAAAAGCACAGCAGAAACUCCUGAACUAUUUACCUGUCAGCAUCACGAAAAUGGGACAAAUUGAUUAUGUAGGUAGGAAGAUAGGUUAAUAGCUAGGUUGGUAGACAGAUAGAUAACAGAUGAUAAAAAAUACAUAUAAAGUUUGUACUGAAUAUAUAUUAAAAAUGUAUCUAUGAGGUACUAACCUACAUUACUAUAUUCACCCUCAAAGCAGCUGUGUUGCUGUUGUACAGGUGUUUCAGUGCCUGCAGAACGAACCUCGUAAUGUCCUUCUUGGAAAUAUUAGCACCAGCUGUUUAGGAUCCCCCUGUCAGAAGUCUAUGUCCAGACCUGGGCAGGCUCCUCCGGUGAGCUGAGACACUAGGCCAGCUAAGCAGAGUCCUGCCUCAGAACUUUGUCUGUUCAUUCUAUAGGCCUCCUCUUCCAAGCUUCAAGGUUCUAAAAAUUCCAACCUAUUCCCUCUGUUUCCCCAGCCCUAGGAGUGUCCGUUGCUUCUCACAUUUGUCAUCUGUCUAUGAUACCUUAGUUUCCCCUUUUGCCUUUUCGAUUGCCAAGUUAACAACUUUACACGUAGUUUACAAUUUUUCAUAUGACAUUCUCUGUUAAUAAAACUGUGUGUGAUUUC